This is a long non-coding RNA of Xyrauchen texanus (razorback sucker), 459 nucleotides long. RefSeq lists it as uncharacterized. The transcript has 3 exons. Lineage: Eukaryota; Metazoa; Chordata; Actinopteri; Cypriniformes; Catostomidae. The record is from RefSeq and is a predicted model, not a curated record.
GGGAGCAUCCUAUAACUCUCCUAUAACUGUUCUGAGACCAGUGCAGACAGACAGCACACUGGAGGUUAAGUCAUGCACUAAAUAGGGAGCAAGGGAGCAUCCUAUAGCUCUCUAUAACUGUUCUGAGACCAGUGCAGACAGACAGCACACUGGAGGUUAAGUCAUGCACUAAAUAGGGAGCAAGGGAGCAUUCUAUAGCUCUCCUAUAACUGUUCUGAGACCAGUGCAGACAGACAGCACACUGGAGGUUAAGUCAUGCACUAAAUAGGGAGCAAGGGAGCAUCCUAUAGCUCUCUAUAACUGUUCUGAGACCAGUGCAGACAGACAGCACACUGGAGGUCAAGUCAUGCACUAAAUAGGGAGCAAGGGAGCAUCCUAUAGCGCUCUAUAACUGUUCUGAGACCAGUGCAGACAGACAGCACACUGGAGGUCAAGUCAUGCACUAAAUAGGGAGCAAGG